This 301-nucleotide ribosomal RNA is filed under the name uncultured bacterium. Its description in RNAcentral is "partial 16S ribosomal RNA". It matches the Rfam family "Bacterial small subunit ribosomal RNA", at positions 509 to 809 of the family's 1533-position model. The record is from RNAcentral.
CAGUCGCCGCGGUAAUGCGUAGGGUGCGAGCGUUAAUCGGAAUUACUGGGCGUAAAGCGUGCGCAGGCGGUUUUGUAAGACAGGCGUGAAAUCCCCGGGCUCAACCUGGGAAUGGCGCUUGUGACUGCAAAGCUAGAGUGCGGCAGAGGGGGAUGGAAUUCCGCGUGUAGCAGUGAAAUGCGUAGAUAUGCGGAGGAACACCGAUGGCGAAGGCAAUCCCCUGGGCCUGCACUGACGCUCAUGCACGAAAGCGUGGGGAGCAAACAGGAUUAGAUACCCGGGUAGUCCCUGUCUCUUAUAA